AGACAAACGCUGGGAUUCUUGAGAUCCUUGAGGAAAGUCCAUGCUCUCACAGUCUGCGAUGACUGUAGUGUUCGUGCCUAGGAAAAAAAUAACCUAGGGUAGUUUUUUCUAACGGCGGAGAAGAACCUAAGUUUUUAAUAUGGUUCUAUCCAUAAAGUGCCACAGAGACGAAUUCUUUGGAAACGAAGAGGUGAAACGUGGUAAACCCCGCGAGAGAGAAAUCCAAAUUUGGUAGGAGAGCUCUAACGAAGGAAGCAAACGGAGUUAGGGACCGGGCAACUGGUAGAUAAAUGUUUGUCACCUAGAAAUAGGAACAGAACAUGGCUUAUU
Molecule: RNase P RNA, 330 nt
Filed under: human gut metagenome
Description: Bacterial RNase P class B
Rfam family: Bacterial RNase P class B
About the family: Ribonuclease P (RNase P) is a ubiquitous endoribonuclease, found in archaea, bacteria and eukarya as well as chloroplasts and mitochondria.
Source: RNAcentral